Molecule: long non-coding RNA, 2979 nt
Organism: Sorghum bicolor (sorghum)
Lineage: Eukaryota; Viridiplantae; Streptophyta; Magnoliopsida; Poales; Poaceae
Exons: 2
Source: RefSeq, a predicted model, not a curated record
UAUGUUCAAGUAUGAGCUGCGAGGGGAGGCAUAUGGUUUGUGCUUUAUAUAGGAGGAAUGUGUUGACUGGGAUGGUUGCCAGAUUGGCAUCUCGUGGGUCGGGUAGGGUCUGCUACUUUCAGUUUCCACAUUCUUGUGUCAAAAACUGCAGUGCAAAGUGUUGCUCAUACCGGAGCUUAUACCAGUUAUCACCAUCAAGGACUGAACUCCCACAACAUAGUGCUGCUGUUAGUUGCCACUUUAUGAUGAUGCUUAAUGACCGUUGAAUCAUCGAACAUGAAAAGAGAUCCAGCACAGAUCCCCAGCCUGAAGCUCAGUUAUCUGAAUCUUGAUCAUCAUGAGUCAGCUACCAUAUCUCCUGCUUGUCACUGUUCAUAACUGCUGGAUCGUUGAUGACAAAAGCAUAGGGCACCGGGUGCCAUUCACCUAUUCAAGCAAGGAAAAUAUCGGAAGCAAGGGUGUGGAAUGUACUGGUGGCUGGUGACAUGAAUGGGUCAAUGAUGCUUUCUUGUAUGGUCAGAGCAUCUUGUAGUGUUGACACUAUGCUGUCAUUAGUUAUUUAAUUAGAUUAAACUCUUUUGAGGCUUGCAAUUUGAUGGUAUCACACUGUUUUCCUGGAAGCUGCAGAUCUCCUUUUGCUAAGAAUCUGAAGCCUCUCUUUCGACCAAGAAAUGCAUCUGAAUGUGUUGUUUGGGGGCUAUCUAUUCAAUCCUAACAUGUGGGGAAGAUAAAGGGGUUUCUUUUGUUAGAAAUAACAAACUUGCAAAAGUGAUUGCACUGGAGCAUCAGAUUGGAACUGAACUAAGAAGAUCACACAAUGCAGAGGCGAUUGCCCUAUAUCCAUCACCUCCAAAUAAGCUCAUCUGUCUAUCAGUUGGACUCUCAAGCAUAUAGAGGACUGUUCAUUAGGGGCGACUCUGUUGUGCAUGUUCUCUGUACGACUGGCCCAAAUUUAUGCAAUGUACGGCGUUUGGUCACUUUAACUACCCAGUGGCUUGUAUUGCAUGAUUACACCUUUGGAUAGUUCGUAGUUCCACUAACCUUGGCACUGCAGAGGUCUUAGUUCGUAGUUCCACUAACCUUGGCACUGCAGAGGUCUCCUUGUCCAGUAUCAGUAUCAAGGAAUAUUUGUGCAUACAACAAAUAGUAGGCAUCAAAUAAAGAGGCACGCCCCUUUUGUCUGGAGUGGGCAGCUGAUGGUGAAAGCUCAGCUUUUUGAUCAGGGAGAGAAUGCUCCAAUUUGAUGGAAAAGAAAGCUGACAUUGCAUAAUUCAGGCCCCAAUAUAGAUAAGAUCUCCAUGACUUUGCAAUAGGUUGGGGAUGUUCCAUGGAUUACUGGUUUUGUACAGGAUGCAAAGGUGCUGCCAUUGUUGAAGACCCCUCUCUAUUCAGCUGCUCAAUGGGUUCAAUGUUGGAAUGGACGCGGUCUGCAUCUUUAUCAGAAUGGUUAUCCCAAUUGGUCCCUUCACUUCACCUUUCCAUGGCACAAACUUGCCGUGUCAUUGGAGGCACAAUGAUUGAUGCAUACAUGCAAUGGAGAAGAAUGGGAAAGUUGGCCGUCUGUGUGGGACUGUGGUGUGUGGACCAUCCAAAAACUCAUCCAGGCUUGUGGCUUCGACUGUUAUAAGGAUCUAUGCCGGAUUCUUCCUGCUCCAUAUCAUCCUUCGAUUGAACCAUUUCAAUCCCUAGAGAAGGAUAUUUCGGUGAAGUGGCUCACCCAAUGACCCAAACAUAUCGGCCUCUGUGCCAUGCCUACUUGUGAACAUUGCAGUGGCAGUUGGCCAAAUGAUGGGCAGCCGGCUAAAUGUCACAAUUAGCCUGGCAGUUCACACUACAUGGUUGCUUUUCAUAGACACGACAAUGGUCACCGGUCAUCAGGUCGUGUAAGUUCACAUGGUCUACUGAACAGUGUCCAAAUGGUCUACUGAGUAGUGCAUGCCCCAGUGGUCUGGUCUACUGAGCAGAGUCACGAUUUGCUAAUUAACAUGUUCCAAUAAUGUCCGGAGAAUGACAGAUCAGUGAAGUGGCUGCCGAAAAGAUGAGCCAAUAGCAAGCAACGGAAGUUGGCCUAAAGAUGAAAAGAGGCAGCUGAUUACACACGCUUUGACAGCUGACAGAGCACGGUUUGCACAAUGAACAUGGAAAUGCCCCUCACUCAUCGGCCAUCAUCGGUCGAUCCAAGCUGAGUUUACAUCACCACAUGGUCUACUUAGCAGUCUGCUAGUCAUGGUCAGUGCACUAGCGGGGAAAAGAGGGGCCGGCUGGAGACAGCGUGACUCCUGUGGGAACAGCAGCCGCACCACCGGGGGAUAAAAAGCCUCUGUUCGUGGGGGAGCCAAUAAUGCCGGCGAGAUGCAUGUUGCACGAUGAUGCCGAGCUUGACUUGACGCCGGGAGGCCGGCCGGUGAUCUCGCCUGCUGAGCUCACCGGCACUGUGCUUGCUGGCUUGUGACCGUCCUAAAACCUGGAGGAGGCCCAGAGGUCGAAGGGGGCUAGCAGAGUGCAGACGGGGGCAGUAGAUCUGCCAAUCUACGGGUAGGGGACCUGUUGUGCUUGUGCUGCUGCUGCUGCUGUUCUAGAAUCUGGAGGUGCGCUGGAAUGGCGAACAGUAGGUGAUGGUGGCAUGCUUGCUUGCAGAGUCAGUGCGUGGCCUGAUCACUUCGUGCGCUGCGUUCUUGUACGUGUUCUGUGUUCGUGCCUGCUGACAGGAGAAAAGACGGUAAACAUGCUAUGCAUUUUGGGUGGCCACCAGCUAGUCAACUUUCUGUCAAUGCGUGCUUGCUUGCUUGCUCCCCUUUCUUAGUGCAUGGUAACUGGCUACUAACUGCUGGAUUUACGUUUGAUUUACAGAUGCAAGGAAUAAGGGAGACAGAUAGACUGAUCAGGGAGAGAUAGAUUAUGUAACCACAGCAGGAAGCACUAUGGCACUAGGCGAGAACUUUUUAACAACAAUACUGAUUUGAUAGAGAAUUUCAGAAA